This is a long non-coding RNA of Cavia porcellus (domestic guinea pig), 3080 nucleotides long. RefSeq lists it as uncharacterized. The record is from RefSeq and is a predicted model, not a curated record. The transcript has 2 exons. Lineage: Eukaryota; Metazoa; Chordata; Mammalia; Rodentia; Caviidae.
UUUCCUCUGGCUGCACACCUCCAAAUCUACCCUGCACAGAAAUGAAAGCAUGUGUUCACAGACCCGCAGAGAAACCACUGAGACACAGAGAAGCCAAAAAGAUGAUAGCUGGAGUAAGGGUGCAGAGCAGAAGGGUGACUUUGAGUAUGGCAGCUCAGGCUCUGGCCUCGGCAGAGACAGCUGGACCCCGGGAGAAGGGCAUGCUGAAGGCCAGGGAGACAGAGCCCGUGACAGUUCUCAUUUCCUUGAUGCCGCUAAAGAGCCCAGAUGAGAAGCACAUGUGUUCUAUAUUUAGGCUUUGAGUUUUUUUCCCUUCUGAAACAGGAGGUGGGAGAAGGGGUGAAGUUUGAUUCAGGCCCAGAGAUAAAGAGUGACACUCACAAACGGGCCGUAAUAGGGGGCAAAGUAAGUUAAGCUGUAGUAAAUGUUUUAAAAUCCUCAGCUAGAUAGACUAAACAGCCCCUGCCGAGGAGGGGGAACCAGCUGUCUCUCCAGCCAUUCACACUUAUGAAGGCGACUCUGCGGUCUGUGUGGCCGCCCAGUCUGUCAUCUGCACACGGAGGCCAGCCUGCAGGACUGGGUGGCGAGGAGGAGUAACAGAGUUGGGUCCCUGGAAGUGCCUUGUGAACUGUAAACUACAGGACAAGCGCACGAAGUUCUUGUAUCGAUUAUAUUUCUGCUUUUGAGAAGUAUGUUCAGGAAAUGGAAAUGUUUUCAGCUGAAGAACAAACAUAUCAGGAUAAAGGGAAUAACAAACCAAAAUCAAAAACUUCCUAGCAUGUUUGACAUGUUCGUUAAUUCACCCUAACACUGAUCUGAAAGGGAAUUCAUUGUUGACAACUUUGCAAUGGAGUUAAGUCUAAAAGUCCACUGAAAGGGCCACUUGGAUUACACGCCAGUUGCCACCACAUUAGUCUGACCGUCACCCGCUUGCAAGGCACCACUGAGUUGCAUGUUCAUGAGCUGAAAGCAUUUCAGUAUGUCAACAUAAGCUGAUGAGGAUGACAAUAAUAAAAUAAUUCCUGAUGCUGUCGCAACUCUUUUGAAGACUCUUCCAGAUAAACCGGCAAAGCACUUGCACAUCCGGGAGGUAAUUCAGUUCUUUUGCACUGAGUCCAGAGAUGCAAGAAUUAUCGCCCCAUUUCACAGAGGAGGAAAUGUGCCAGCCUCUUAAACCCCUCAGCAGUGUCAGGGGUGGGCUUACCUACCCUUCCUGGUCUCUCCGCAGAUGCGGGGAACUGGGCUCCUAUGUGGUUUUAUGCUCCUGCAGCAGACAAGAGUGAUCUCAGCAAUUGGGCACUAAGCUCCAAGGUGACUACAAAUGGGGAGAUGCUUUGAUAGACUUCAUAGAGCUUUUCCUCUGCAUCAUACACCAUCAUAAAUUAACGCAUCCUGUCUCCACAUCUCUUUCAUUGCGUCUUUGGGUCCAGUAGAGGUGGUAAGGAGGUGAUAAGCAGCCCCUGGCAGAUGUGUUGGGCAAGUGGCCAUGGUGAACUCUUCACGUGCCAGAUCCUUUCACAUCACAUGAAGCAAACGGCCCCUCCAUGAAGGACGGAAGAAAAGCUGAGAAAUACUCAGGUUUGGGAUUGUUUCUCCACCACCCGAAUAAGCUUUCCAAUUCCACUGUUCUGAUGGAAGGAAGCAGUGAUUGGGGCUGAUGGCCUUUCAUGCUCAGAGCCCCAUUGCUCUGGAAGACUGCUGGUGGGGAAUGGAAGUACACUGGAAGAUAAGGGUACAAAAAGGAUUAAUGCUGGACUUAACUAAUGAAGUUACUUAACAUUAGAAACACCCAUCCAGGCAUGGUGGUGCCCAUUUGCAAUUCCAGCACUUGAGAGACAAAGGCAGGAUUGCUGUGAGUUCAAGUCCAUCCCAGUCUACAUAGUAAGAGUCUGUCUCAUGAACAAGGAGCAGCUAAAAUCCCAACUUCUUACUUGUUAGAGAUGUCUGACAUGAAAUAGCUACCACUGUGGCAUAGAGGCCAGUGUUAAAAUUUGACAAAUCAGUCUCUUCUUAGAGAUAAAAAUUUUGCAGGUUAAUAAAAGUGGUUUACUCUAUCAUACAAAAAUACAUUUACAAGCAACGUAUCCUAAUAUAGGAAGCUGACUGUUCAUUUUAUCUCAGUUAAUCCUUGACACACAUGAUUUUAAAAUGUUGAUGGUGUUUUGUCAUGUUUUUAAAAUUUUUUUCUUUUAAAUUCUUUUUUUGUCAUGUUAAAAUAUCAGCUGGUUUCAUGAUAGCCAUUCAAUAAACUUAGUUUUGAUAGUAACACAUAUCUUAUAUACUAUUGACUAUAUGAAACAUAAAUAACCACUUUUUCCCCCCAAAAUCUUUUGCAGUACAGGGGCUUGAACCCAAGUUCAAAUGAGCAAAUGACCCCUCCAUGAAGGAUGGAAGAAGAGGCUGAGAAAUACUUAGGUUUAGAAUUAUUUCUGCAUCCCAGCCCUGUUUUAUUUUUUUUUCACUUUGAGACAGGAUCCUUCACAUUUGCUAAAUUUCCCAGGCUGGGUUCUUUCCUGGAGUGCAAGGGUUAUAGGUGCACCUGGCUAAUGUAACCAAGCUGUGAAAGCAUCUCUGAAGAGCUGCUUUUGGUACAGAAAGAGCAAACUGAUCUCCCCUGGGCAUUAGCCACCAGCAGCCCACUGAGGUGUUAUCUCCAGAAAGCCGAUCUGGGCUCAGCAGAAAGUAUGCUGGGCAGAUGGGUGAUGCCAGUCAGGAAGAGGAAGGAAGGUCUGGUGGCAGGUGUACCAUUUAUUUGCCAUCUCAACUGUGGGAGGAGAAGAGAACUACACCUACAGUGAUUGCAUAUUUCACUAGGAACAAAGACUGCUGACGUGGAUGAAGAAUUCCUUUGAUGGCCUAGUUUUUGCCAGAGCAAAGAUUUGAUCAUUUCAAAUAGCCACUGACUUAAGAGCACUAUUUUAAAUGUUUCCUGAAUAUUGGGUGUCUAAAGGGGUAGGGAUUAUUCAUUUUUUUUUCAGCAUGUUUGUACUGUUAUUUGCAAUUCUGGAACUGAGUCUGUCAUUGUUAUGGUGGCAAAUGUCAGUCAGGAUUGUCUAAUUAUAUAAGCUUCUUACAAAUAA